This 417-nucleotide long non-coding RNA is filed under the name Capra hircus (goat). RNAcentral describes it as "lncRNA (ENSCHIG00000001162.1)". Lineage: Eukaryota; Metazoa; Chordata; Mammalia; Artiodactyla; Bovidae. The record is from RNAcentral.
CAUACAUAGGGAAACUUAAAGGCCAUGGGCUUCCAGUGAACACACUUGGAAAAUUGGAAGAUCUCAAUGAUAGCUUUGAAAGAAUCCUUUGUCUCCUAAAGUUUCCAGGUUCAUCCUGUAAUAGGACUAUGGAUAGGACUGUGGAUCAACCCCAGGACAGAUUAUAGGGUUGCAGAUGGAAGUCUUGGAGCAGAGGGCAGUGGAAAAUCAGGGCAGUCUGAUGAAUGAUCGUCAUUGAGUACACGUCUUUCCUUAAAAAACUGCAUUCAGAUGAGGUCCUAAUAGAUUUUCCCAAGUUUCUCAACUGAUUUUCUUGGGAUUUGACAUUUGGAGAAAUUUUCACAUCCUCCUGGAAAUGUGCAGAAUAACUGCUCUGCGGAUACACCGCCUUUGUGUUUACCAGGCUGUGCAUUCUGG